UGGGGAAUCUUGCACAAUGGGGGAAACCCUGAUGCAGCGACGCCGCGUGAGCGAUGAAGCCCUUCGGGGUGUAAAGCUCUUUCGACGGGAACGAUAAUGACGGUACCCGGAGAAGAAGCUGCGGCUAACUACGUGCCAGCAGCCGCGGUAAUACGUAGGCAGCAAGCGUUGUUCGGAAUUACUGGGCGUAAAGAGUGCGUAGGCGGUGCUUUAAGUUUGGUGUGAAGUCUCCCGGCUUAACUGGGAGGGUGCGCCGAAGACUGGAGUGCUUGAGUGUGGGAGAGGAAAGCGGAAUUCCUGGUGUAGCGGUGAAAUGCGUAGAUAUCAGGAGGAACACCUGCGGUGUAGACGGCUUUCUGGACCAUGACUGACGCUGAGGCACGAAAGCGUGGGUAGCAAACAG
RNAcentral lists this ribosomal RNA (403 nucleotides) under uncultured bacterium. Its description in RNAcentral is "bacterial SSU rRNA". It matches the Rfam family "Bacterial small subunit ribosomal RNA", at positions 355 to 775 of the family's 1533-position model. The record is from RNAcentral.